Molecule: long non-coding RNA, 3551 nt
Organism: Dermochelys coriacea (leatherback sea turtle)
Lineage: Eukaryota; Metazoa; Chordata; Testudines; Dermochelyidae
Exons: 2
Source: RefSeq, a predicted model, not a curated record
UCCAAAACCACACAGCCCUGCCUAAACAACGGCUGUUAAAUAGGCCUCUUCUAAACAAAGGAAAGUGUGUUUACCUCAGUUUCCAUAAAAGUAGUAAAUAGGGUUCUCGAGACAGCAGAGGGAGGAAAUGGCAGGGGACCAAGCAAAUUUGCAUUUCAGCAAACCCAGGUGGGAAGAAAGAACAUGGAUCCUUUUUCACCAUCAGACUCCAUGUCAUUUUCUUUACUGUUUGCAUAAACUUUGCUUUGAAGGCUAAUCUUCAGAAGAAUCCAUUUCAAAGGUUCACUGGACUAAAAGAGAGAAGGGCAGAGAACCCCAAGUUCUUUCACCUGAGAAGACAAAAGCACCGGCACCUUUGGGCCUCUGGGAGAGAUCCUGAUCAAGUAGAGUCAGUCACCAUCUUGCUGGAAGACACUAGGAAAGGAAAAUAGAACAAAAGUAAAGCAUAAACAUGAGUGACAGUGAAGCAACUACAAAGUGAGAGCUGGUCAGGCUGGAGAAUGAGCAGAAAGAAAACAAAUGUGGACAUCAGAAAUGGUUAGCUAAGCAGAAAGUCGGAAAUAGAGAUGAGAGCCAAGGAGAAGGAGGCCGAAAGGAAGCAGCAUGUUGGCGGGCCAUGGAGCUGAAAGAGAUGGAAGCCCAAGAAAAAGAGAAGGAAAGACUGCCUGCCUGGAGCAUAAGGGACAGGCGGGGCAGAAUCCACCAUCCCCAGUUACUCCCUCCAUCCAAGGAACACCCAGCUGGGAUAAAUUGUGCCCUGCAUACAAGGAAACAGAGUGUACGGAAGCAUACCUCAUCAGUUUUGAAAGGCUAAGUGAACUGCAUAAAGUUCCAGAGGACAGGACAGUCCCCAUACUGAUUGCAAAACUCUUGAGUAAAGCUUUACAUGUAUUUAAUGAAAUGCAGACUGGAGAAGCUUUGAUAUAGCCUGAAUUUAAAAAAGCUGUUUGGCAAAGGAUUCAAAUUACCCCUAAGGUGUACAGGUUGAAAUUUAGAAAUCUCAGGAAAAGUGCUGGAAUGAGUCAUAGUGAGAGCCUAUAAAAUGUAUGACCUAAUGAGAAGUGCAAUAUGGCAUACAUCUUUAAAUUCUCUACAGGAAGUUGCCAUCCUUUGAUAAGAAACUUCUUCUUUUCUCUAUAAAUAGAUCUAAGUGCUGUGAUGCUAAGCAAAGUGCUGGUCCUGAGUUGAAUCUUUCACACUGGGAACUGGAGGCCUGGUAGUUCUGAGAGUGUCCAGGGGAUAAGGGGCUGGAUGCUGCAGGGAGCACUCUGAGGACUUGGGGGUUGGUGUGUGCCUAUUGCUACUGGUACACAGACAGCGAGAACUGAGGAGGCCUGAAGGUCGGUGCUUGUGUUGCCAGAGGUUGGUGGUUUCUGGGAGCUGUUUCACAGCAAGCACAGAUAAGACUUCCUUAAGCUAAGGGUCAGUGUGGAGAGGUGCAUCACAACCCUGGGUACCCCUGGGCAGCGUCUGUUCCAAAUCUACCCCUAAUUCCAUCCAUCAGCUCUAUUCAAUCCCUGGACAUGCACUUCCAGAGUUAUUUGGGAAGGGGAAAAAAGCAGAAUGAAAUAGGAAUUUUCAUGGGAUUACAAUGGCGCCCCCUUUGUCUGCCUCAAUGGUGAUGAAUACAUUAAUGGGGCCAACCGACAACUCUCCAACACCACCUACUAUAAUGAAUUCAAAGACAACCCCACACCACAGUUUACUCAAUUUAAGGAUAUCAUCAAAACCUUCCCCAGAUAAACAAGGGAAGCCAGACAGAUCCAUUAUAUCUGGCCAUGGCACUCUUACUGAAGCAAUAUCGGGACUCAGAAACUAUCCUCAAACCACUCCUCUCAGAAAGAGCCAGCUUCCUCUAGGAUACAACCUACUUCCUCAGCAAACUCCGCAACAUCAAUUACCUCCCUCGGAACACCAUCUUUGUCACCAUGGAUGUCACCUCCCUAUACCGCAACAUCCCUCACAAAGACAGCAUAGCUGCCUGUCUCAAAUAUUUACAAGACAAUGGACAACCCUCAGAUCUCCACCCCAAAUACAUUGCCAGACUCAUCCAUUUCAUCCUCACCCAUAACAAUUUUACAUUCAACAAACACUCUGUCCAAACCAUGGAAAUAGUCAAGGGUACUAUGAUGGCUCCCCAAUAUCCCAACCUCUUCGUGGCCACCUUUAAGAAUUUCUAGACAAAUGCACCAUGAAAUCAGUGAUAUACCUGAGAUACAUUGAUGAUAUUUUCAUCAUCUGGACAGAUGACUUCAACUCCCCCAUGGAUUUCCACCUCAACUUCAACAAUCACCGUCCUUCUAUUAAACUCUCUCUGGAACACUUCCACAGCAGCAUCCACUUCCUGGACACCAUGAAGAACUUCAACAAUGGAACCCUCCAGGCAACUAUAUACAAGAAACCCUCAGAUCAACAUCCCUACUUCAUAGCUAUAGUAACGACCUCAAACACACCAAGAAAUGUUAUCUACAGCCAGGCACUCAGAUACUACAGAAUAUGCUCUAAGGAGAAAAUCCAGGAAACACAUCUCAACACACUCAAAACUGCCUUCACCAAACAAGGACACUCCACCAGAGAAGUAGAUAGCAUCAUGGAACAGGCCACCCAAAUACCCUGAAAAAACCUGCUUCAAUACAGAAAUAAAACCCACUCUGUCUGCACACCACUAGUUGUCCGUACCAGCCCACACUGGAAUCCAUAUGGGAUAUCAUCAAACAGCUACAACCCAUACCUGGUGGGGACCCCAUCCUGAAAAAAAAUCUUUCCUGAACCCCCUCUUCUGGUCUUCAAACAACCCCCACAACCUCUCCAAGGUCAUCAUUAGAAGCAAGCUCCCCACAGACCAGGACACACCAACUCAAAGCAGCACCAGACCACACCAGAACAGCAGAUGCAAAACUUGCAGACAUGUCUCCACUUGUAUGAUGAUCAAUACCCCCCACACGACACCUUUCAAGAUCUGUGGGUCCUACACUUACCUAUCACAACAUAUGGUGGUGUUCCUCAUACAGUGCACUAAAUGCCCCAAUAGUAACUGUGUAUGAAACCAGACCAUCACUACACCCUCGAAUGAACGCCAAAAGGAAAACGAUAAAAGACAAAAACAUGAUAUCACCUGUGGGUGAACACUUUUCACAAAGCCAUCAAUCUAUAUCUGAUCUAUCUGUCCUCAUCCUCAAAAGAAACCUGCAGAACACUUCCAAAAGAUGAGCCUGGGAGUUUAAAUUCAUAACUUUGCUAGACACUAAAAAUCAUGGACUGCUUUCCCCCUGCACCACUUCCUUUCCUCCCCCUGUCUGGAGGGGUGUUAACAGGUCACGUCACCUGGUAUGGUCCCUUGAAGUAUGUGGUGUUUACUUAUGAUAAACAAUCAGUUCAAAUCUUCUAUUUAGCAGUGAUACCUUGAGUUAGUUUCCCAGCCCUGAAGAAGAGCUCUGUGUAGCUCGAAAGCUUGUCUCUCUCACCGACAGAAGUUGGUCCAAUAGAAGAUAUUACCUCGCCUGCCUUGUGUCUCUAAUCUCCUGGGGCCAACAUAGCUGCAACAACACUGC